This 492-nucleotide ribosomal RNA is filed under the name uncultured bacterium. RNAcentral's name for it is "partial 16S ribosomal RNA". It matches the Rfam family "Bacterial small subunit ribosomal RNA", at positions 29 to 507 of the family's 1533-position model. The record is from RNAcentral.
AGUGAACGCUGGCGGUAGGCCUAACACAUGCAAGUCGAACGGCAGCACAGUAAGAGCUUGCUCUUACGGGUGGCGAGUGGCGGACGGGUGAGGAAUACAUCGGAAUCUACUUUUUCGUGGGGGAUAACGUAGGGAAACUUACGCUAAUACCGCAUACGACCUACGGGUGAAAGCAGGGGAUCUUCGGACCUUGCGCGAUUGAAUGAGCCGAUGUCGGAUUAGCUAGUUGGCGGGGUAAAGGCCCACCAAGGCGACGAUCCGUAGCUGGUCUGAGAGGAUGAUCAGCCGCACUGGAACUGAGACACGGUCCAGACUCCUACGGGAGGCAGCAGUGGGGAAUAUUGGACAAUGGGCGAAAGCCUGAUCCAGCCAUACCGCGUGGGUGAAGAAGGCCUUCGGGUUGUAAAGCCCUGUUGUUGGGAAAGAAAAGCAGCAGGUUAAUACCCCGCUGUUCUGACGGUACCCAAAGAAUAAGCACCGGCUAACUUCGUG